Molecule: ribosomal RNA, 505 nt
Filed under: uncultured bacterium
Lineage: Bacteria
Description: partial 16S ribosomal RNA
Rfam family: Bacterial small subunit ribosomal RNA
Source: RNAcentral
GACGAACGCUGGCGGCGUGCCUAAUACAUGCAAGUAGAACGCACAGUUUAUACCGUAGCUUGCUACACCAUAGACUGUGAGUUGCGAACGGGUGAGUAACGCGUAGGUAACCAGCCUGGUAGCGGGGGAUAACUAUUGGAAACGAUAGCUAAUACCGCAUAAUAUUAAUUAUUGCAUGAUAAUUAAUUGAAAGGUGCAAUUGCACCACUACCAGAUGGACCUGCGUUGUAUUAGCUAGUAGGUGAGGUAACGGCUCACCUAGGCGACGAUACAUAGCCGACCUGAGAGGGUGAUCGGCCACACUGGGACUGAGACACGGCCCAGACUCCUACGGGAGGCAGCAGUAGGGAAUCUUCGGCAAUGGACGAAAGUCUGACCGAGCAACGCCGCGUGAGUGAAGAAGGUUUUCGGAUCGUAAAGCUCUGUUGUAAGAGAAGAACGGGUGUGAGAGUGGAAAGUUCACACUGUGACGGUAUCUUACCAGAAAGGGACGGCUAACUACGUG